UACGUAGGGGGCUAGCGUUGUCCGGAAUCAUUGGGCGUAAAGCGCGCGUAGGCGGCCCGGUAAGUCCGCUGUGAAAGUCAAAGGCUCAACCUUUGAAUGUCAGCGGAUACUGCCGGGCUAGAGUCCGGAAGAGGCGAGUGGAACUCCUGGUGUAGCGGUGGAAUGCGCAGAUAUCAGGAAGAACACCAACGGCGAAGGCAGCUCGCUGGGAUGGAACUGACGCUGAGGCGCGAAAGCGUGGGGAGCGAACAGG
This 253-nucleotide ribosomal RNA is filed under the name uncultured bacterium. Its description in RNAcentral is "partial 16S ribosomal RNA". It matches the Rfam family "Bacterial small subunit ribosomal RNA", at positions 524 to 776 of the family's 1533-position model. The record is from RNAcentral.